RNAcentral lists this ribosomal RNA (500 nucleotides) under uncultured bacterium. RNAcentral's name for it is "partial 16S ribosomal RNA". It matches the Rfam family "Bacterial small subunit ribosomal RNA", at positions 28 to 507 of the family's 1533-position model. The record is from RNAcentral.
GACGAACGCUGGCGGCGUGCCUAAUACAUGCAAGUCGAACGAACACCCACUUGAACUUUUCCCUUUCAAUGUUCGUGUCGCACGGGUGAGUAACAAACGGAGAACCCACCCUUAACGGGGGGAAUACCAUUGGAAACCAUGCCUAAUUCCCCAUAACACCCCACAUCAGAAACACAAUGAAGGACGGACUGCUCCGGCUGUCAUUCAAGGAUGGCUGAGUGGUUCGUUAGCGAGCUGGUGGGGCACAGGCCUACCAUGGCAACGAUGCAUAGCCGACCUGAGAGGAUGAUCGGCCACAUUGGAACUGAGACACGGUCCAAACUCCUACGGGAGGCAGCAGUAGGGAAUAUGCGGCAAUGGAGGCAAGUCUGACGUAGCAAUGCCGCGUGUGUGAAGAAGGUCUUCGGGUCGUAAAGCACUGUUGUUAGGGAAGAACGACAGCAAGAGUAAAUGUUACCGGACUGACGGUAGCUAACCAAAAAGCAACGGCUAACUACGUG